UUGGGCGUAAGCGCGCGCAGGCGGUUUCUUAAGUCUGAUGUGAAAGCCCACGGCUCAACCGUGGAGGGUCAUUGGAAACUGGGGAACUUGAGUGCAGAAGAGAAAAGCGGAAUUCCACGUGUAGCGGUGAAAUGCGUAGAGAUGUGGAGGAACACCAGUGGCGAAGGCGGCUUUUUGGUCUGUAACUGACGCUGAGGCGCGAAAGCGUGGGGAGCAAACAGGAUUAGAUACCCUGGUAGUCCACGCCGUAAACGAUGAGUGCUAAGUGUUAGAGGGUUUCCGCCCUUUAGUGCUGCAGCUAACGCAUUAAGCACUCCGCCUGGGGAGUACGGUCGCAAGACUGAAACUCAGAGGAAUUGACGGGGGCCC
Molecule: ribosomal RNA, 369 nt
Filed under: Bacillus sp. (in: firmicutes)
Lineage: Bacteria; Bacillati; Bacillota; Bacilli; Caryophanales; Bacillaceae
Description: bacterial SSU rRNA
Rfam family: Bacterial small subunit ribosomal RNA
Source: RNAcentral